RNAcentral lists this non-coding RNA (23 nucleotides) under Arabidopsis thaliana (thale cress). Lineage: Eukaryota; Viridiplantae; Streptophyta; Magnoliopsida; Brassicales; Brassicaceae. The record is from RNAcentral.
CCGUGUCUCUAUAUCACAACCUU